Molecule: long non-coding RNA, 1197 nt
Filed under: Piliocolobus tephrosceles (Ugandan red Colobus)
Lineage: Eukaryota; Metazoa; Chordata; Mammalia; Primates; Cercopithecidae
Description: lncRNA (ENSPTEG00000010381.1)
Source: RNAcentral
AAUUUAUUAAAUAUUAUAUAUAUAAAAAAUAUAUAUAAAUUUACUAUAAAAAAUUUAAUAGAUAAAAUAUUAUAUUUUAAUGGUAUAAUAUUGAAUAAUAAUUAUAAAAUAUUAAAUAUUAAUAAUAUAAAUAAUAAAUUUAUAUUAAUAAAUUUAAUAAUAUAUAAUUAUAUAAUAUUUGUUAUUUAAAAUAUGAAAGAAGUUAUAUUAAAUUUUUAUUUAAAUAAUAUAUUUUAUAAAAUUAAUUUUAUAAAUAAUAAAUAUUUAAUAAUAUAUACUAAUAAAUAUUUAACAAAAUUAGAUAUAAAAUAUAUGAUUAAAUAUAUAUUUAAAAUUAAUAAUAUUAAAAUUAAUUUAAUAAAUAAAAAAAAUUUUUUAAAAAAAUAUUAUAUAUUAUUUAAAUGAUAUUAAAAUUAAAAAAAUAUAAUACAUAUAAAUAUUUAAAAAAUUUUGGUAAAAAUAAUUUAGGAAAUAUUACUAUUUAUAAUAAAGGUGGGGGUAAAUUAAAAUAUAAUUAUAAAUUAAUAGAUUUUUGGUAUGAUAAUUAUAAUAUAAAUAUUAAUUAUAAAAUAAUUUUAUUUAAAAAAUUAAAAAAUUAUUUUAGAAAUACUUAUAUUGGUUGUAUAUUAUAUUUAUCUUAUAAAUUUAAUAAUUUACAAAAAUAUAUUAUUUUACAGCAUAAUUAUAUAUUAAAUUCUAUUUAUUAUAUAACUAGUAUAAAUAAUAUAAAAAAUGGUAGUUAUUUACAAUUAAAAUAUUGUAAAUUAGGUACAUAUAUAUAUAAUAUAUCUAAUAAUAAUAAAGGUGGUAUUUUUGCUAGAUCAGCUGGUACUUUUGCACAAAUAUUAGUUUUUUAUAAAAAUUUAGUAUAUAUAAAAUUACCAUCUAAAAAAUUUAAAUAUUUAAAUUAUAAUAAUUUUUGUUAUAUAGGUAUAAAUAGUAAUAUUUUAUAUAACAAAUAUAAAAUAAAAAAUGCUGGUUAUAAUAUAUAUUAUAAUAAAAAAGCUAAGGUUAGAGGUAAAGCUAUGAAUGUAUGUGAUCAUCCACAUGGUGGUGGUAAAGGGAAAACUUCUAUAGGUCGUAAAUAUCCUUGUUCUAAAAAGGGAUUAAAUUCUAAGGGAUAUAAAACAAAAAAAAAAAAAAAAUAAAAAAAAAUACAAAAAUAAAAAAAUCUAAUUAUCUAUUAAAUAAAUGUCC